Lolium perenne is the source of this 2496-nucleotide non-coding RNA. The record is from RefSeq and is a predicted model, not a curated record. NCBI's taxonomy places the organism in Eukaryota, Viridiplantae, Streptophyta, Magnoliopsida, Poales, Poaceae.
UCCUCUCCCGGCCACUUAAAGCCCCCUUCCUAGCCUGCAACCCUAGCCUCCUCUAGCUUCCUCCUGGUACCCGCCGCCACUUCCUCUCUUCCUCUUCCCUUUCUUCCGCUCGCCUCCUCCCUUGCCGGCCGUGACGCUCUAGUCGCUGCAAGAGCGCCGCCGUCCUCCUCUCUUUUCCGUCCGCCUCGGCCACCUCUGGUUUCCGCCAUCAAUGGUUCAUAAAGAUGAGCUCCUCUUCCUUCACAUGAUCUGCAGCGCAACUUUAUUGGUUUGUACCCUGCUCCUUCACAAUUUGAUCUUGUUCUUCCCUGCGCGAGCCAAAAGGUCUGAGCCUUUCUCUGUUUAUCUAUCUUCCUUGAUCUGGACGCCCACUCCGCUCCACUCCCAGCAAGCCGGCGCCAAGCACGCUCGCCAUGAUCUCCCAGACGUCGCCGACGUACGUGCCCUCGUCUCCAUCUUCAAACGUCUUCGACCGCCGCCUCGCAUGAGCUCCGCCUCCCUGCAGCGACCACACGUCCGCAUCCCUGCAACGCGUCUGCGUUCCCAAGCCCUGCGAGUCUGCGACCGCCAGCAUCCAGGCCACGCGACGGCCAAGCGCGCCACGCCAACGACGCCUCGUCCGCCUCGCAAGCCGUCAUGCAUAUCCGUCCGCGUCGAGCAGCUUGGCCCGUACCUCACCGGCUCCAGCUCGUCGCCAACAGCCGCGUCGCCCUCCAUCUUCCUCGCGCUCGUCCUCACCGCACGUCCCCGUCCGAGCUUGUCGUCGCCGACAGCAUACACAAGUUCUGCACCGUCGGCCAUGCGCCAAGUUCUCCUCGACUUCCAGCCGGAGCCGUAGUCGCCCGCGUAACGAAGCUCGCCACCAACAGACUCCGUUCAAGUUCGCUGCCAAUGUUGAUCGCCGACAAGCACAGCGCCGCGUGCCCGCGUCCCUGCAUCUCGUGCAUGGCCAAGCUCCAGGCUUGGAAGCCGUCAAACAGCAGCACGUCUCUCUGCCCAUGUGUUUAACAACGAUUUCCUUGGGUGAGAAACACCAGCGUCAGGCAGUCCAGUUUCCAGUCAGCAUCUUCAGGUCCCAUCAUCAGCCGAUGUGGCUAGCUCUCCUUCUGCAUUUGCUUCUUCCCGGAUAGGAUCACGAAGUGGUGUGGUGAGAUACGACAAGAUCUCCGGAUGUCCCUCGGCAAGCUUUAACAGGCAAGCAUUUCCCCUAUACUCCUGUCCCUGCAGGAGUCGCUCACCUAUUUUAUUUUGCUUUCUCCCUCAUGCUAUCCUUAAGUUGCGUUCUUGUCACGUGUCCUUUCCACUUGUUACCUCAAGCAGCCCAUAUUGCCACCACCACCUCCUAUGGCUAUUGUUUGGUUAUCGAGUCUGCCCUUGCGAGUCGUAGUGCAUGCUAGUGCUGUUUUAUCUCGUUACCGUUAUUGAUAUCUUAUCGGGUUAUAUGCUGGGAAGAAUCAUGGUUACUUUAGUUGUUGAUAUUUGUUUAGCGGAGGCAUCGGUGGGUCAGCUGCUCGUUUUGUGAUGGCUCACUUGUGUUUCCUAAAUAUCUUAGGACCCCGAGUUCUUGUUAUCUGUUCCGAGACUGAGCGCUCUAACCACACGUGGGUAUGCUUACCGGGUCUCCCCUCGACCACUGCCGGAAUCUACAGCUUUGUCCAGUGGCCACAACUAGUUUGGAUGUUUGUUUUGCUUCUCCCGGGCGUGCAAGCAUGUUUCUUUGUGGUCAGAUGAUAUGAUGUUACUUUUGGGGAAGCCGUGAGUGCCUUGUAUCCCCGUUGUCUCUUGCACGUCCGUAGGUGCGGCACGUAUUGUUAAGAGGUCAUCCUCUAGUGGGCUCUGAUCCUCUUAGCCGUUCUCGCAACAGCUAGGUCCGCGUCGGAGUUUCGAUCGGGCUCCGAAACGGGUUUAACUUAGUUAGGUGGCUUCCUGGACAUUGUUGUAGUGAAGGAGAGUGUGUGUCGUGAUAUCCACCUGUCGUAAGUGGGUUUAUCGUGCGUGUGGGCACAUUUGGGCACCCCUGCAGGGUUAAAAUCUUAUCGAUAAGCCGUGUCCGCGGUUAUGGACGACUUGGAGCUGUAUGACUCGACCAUAGACAACUUACACCUGUUGUUUCAAUACUAAUAACUUGUGUAGUAAGUUAGCACAACUUUAAUAAUAAAUGGUUAAAACUUGACAACCGUGUGAGUGCCUUUGUAAGUACCUCCUUGCGAGGGGGGAACACAUCGGUUGGGUUAUGUUUGCAGAGUAUAGAACUGUUAGUUUAUGCGCUCUCUCAUCUUCUCUGAUUAGACGAAUGUUGUAGAGUGUCUCUAUAGGUUUUUAGUGCUUGCGCGCUGCCGCUUAACCCCACCAUAUUGCCUAUGACGUUCCUCUUGCGUCCUCUAAGUCCCCUGCGUGCCUCAAGUACAAAGGAUGACUGGUUGACGAAUGCUUAUACGUCUUGAAGUCUUGUUAAGUACGAACCCGUACUUAUUGCUGCUUCUACGGGAUAUAACC